CUGAGAUGUGUAUCAAUGAUCAAAAUUGGUUUAUACAACACUAUCAUGCCAACUUUGGCCUGAUUACUAAUAAGGCCAGAAACAAGGUACUGUAUAUGUUUCAUUUGUUGAUGUUGCGAAUUGUUAAUCUGACAAAUGGUUGUAGGCUACUGUAAAUGAGAAAAAUAAAGUCAAACUUGGAAACAGUAGAAACAACAGAAAACAACAUUAUUUAAAUACUGGAUAUGAAUAAACCAAAAUGUAGGAUAAUAAGUUACCAUAUUCCAGUCACCACUUAAUAUAAAACUGUGAACUCAACAAUGUUAAUGUGCCAUGCAAUUAAAUAAUCUACUGUUUAUACAUUCCCAGUUGUAGGACUGUACUGGUGAUUCUCGUCACCAUUUAAUGUAAAAUCAGGAACUCAACAAUGUUACUGUACCAUGCAAUUAAAUAAUCUACUGUUUAUACAUUCCCAGUUGUAGGACUGUAAUGGUACAGGGGUAGCUGUACUUAAAAGUUAUCACCUUGGUUUAUUUCCUUUUUCGUAUAUCAAUUUGUUUAAUUAAUAGAACCAAAA
Molecule: non-coding RNA, 556 nt
Organism: Paramuricea clavata
Lineage: Eukaryota; Metazoa; Cnidaria; Anthozoa; Malacalcyonacea; Plexauridae
Source: the annotation of a GenBank genome assembly